AUUGAACGCUGGCGGCAGGCUUAACACAUGCAAGUCGAGCGGGGUGAUGGUGCUUGCACUAUCACUUAGCGGCGGACGGGUGAGUAAUGGUUAGGAAUCUGCCUAUUAGUGGGGGACAACAUCUCGAAAGGGAUGCUAAUGCUGCAUACGUCCUACGGGAGAAAGCAGGGGAUCACUUGUGACCUUGCGCUAAUAGAUGAGCCUAAGUCGGAUUAGCUAGUUGGUGGGGUAAAGGCCUACCAAGGCGACGAUCUGUAGCGGGUCUGAGAGGAUGAUCCGCCACACUGGGACUGAGACACGGCCCAGACUCCUACGGGAGGCAGCAGUGGGGAAUAUUGGACAAUGGGGGGAACCCUGAUCCAGCCAUGCCGCGUGUGUGAAGAAGGCCUUAUGGUUGUAAAGCACUUUAAGCGAGGAGGAGGCUCUUUUGGUUAAUACCCAAGAUGAGUGGACGUUACUCGCAGAAUAAGCACCGGCUAACUCUGUGCCAGCCGCCGCCGUAA
Molecule: ribosomal RNA, 503 nt
Filed under: uncultured bacterium
Lineage: Bacteria
Description: partial 16S ribosomal RNA
Rfam family: Bacterial small subunit ribosomal RNA
Source: RNAcentral